CCUACGGGUGGCAGCAGUAGGGAAUAUUGCUCAAUGGGGGCAACCCUGAAGCAGCAACGCCGCGUGGAGGAUGAAGGUUUUAGGAUUGUAAACUCCUUUUGUGAGGGAAGAUUAUGACGAUAUCUAACGAAUAAGCACCGGCUAACACCGUGCCAGCAGCCGCGGUAAUACGGAGGGUGCAAGCGUUACUCUGAAUCACUGGGCGUCAAGAGUGCGUCGGCGGGGUAAUAAGUCAGAUGUGAAAUCCUGUAGCUUAACUACAGAACUGCAUUUGAAACUGUUACUCUGGAGUGUAGGAGAGGUAGGUGGAAUUCUUGGUGUAGGGGUAAAAUGCGUAGAGAUCAAGAGGAAUAC
RNAcentral lists this ribosomal RNA (354 nucleotides) under uncultured bacterium. Its description in RNAcentral is "partial 16S ribosomal RNA". It matches the Rfam family "Bacterial small subunit ribosomal RNA", at positions 338 to 709 of the family's 1533-position model. The record is from RNAcentral.